UAAUACGGGGGGUGCAAGCGUUAUUCGGAAUUAUUGGGCGUAAAGGGCGCGCAGGCGGCCUCUUAAGUCAGAUGUGAAAGCCCGGGGCUUAACCCCGGAAGCGCAUUUGAAACUAAGGGGCUUGAGUAUGGGAGAGGGAAGUGGAAUUCCUGGUGUAGCGGUGAAAUGCGUAGAUAUCAGGAGGAACACCGGUGGCGAAGGCGACUUCCUGGACCAAUACUGACGCUGAGGCGCGAAGGCGUGGGGAGCAAACAGGAUUAGAUACCCUGGUAGUCCACGCAGUAAACGGUGAACACUAGGUGUAGCGGGUAUUGACCCCUGCUGUGCCGCAGCUAACGCAUUAAGUGUUCCGCCUGGGGAGUACGAUCGCAAGAUUA
RNAcentral lists this ribosomal RNA (377 nucleotides) under uncultured delta proteobacterium. RNAcentral describes it as "bacterial SSU rRNA". It matches the Rfam family "Bacterial small subunit ribosomal RNA", at positions 521 to 896 of the family's 1533-position model. Lineage: Bacteria; Deltaproteobacteria. The record is from RNAcentral.